This 379-nucleotide transfer-messenger RNA is filed under the name Saprospiraceae. Its description in RNAcentral is "HDS-20 sp018680005 Standard tmRNA". It matches the Rfam family "transfer-messenger RNA". From Rfam's summary of the family: Bacterial tmRNA, also known as 10Sa RNA or SsrA, is named for its dual tRNA and mRNA-like properties. Its role is to liberate the mRNA from a stalled ribosome. The record is from RNAcentral. RNAcentral also lists the same sequence under 1 other name. Lineage: Bacteria; Pseudomonadati; Bacteroidota; Saprospiria; Saprospirales.
GGGGCUGUCCGGUAUCGACAGUAUUGCCUAUGGAUAUGUAAGCAUGCCGAAGCAAGAUUGUUUACUUCGUUAACAAAUAAUAAUCGAAUAAAUUUUACCUGGCAACACUAGACUUGCCAUGGCUGCCUAAUUCUAGGAAUUAGAACGCCAUUAUGCCGCAAGCUUGAAGUCUGAUACACAGCUAGCCGCAUAUCACAACUUUUCGGACUCGUCAAUGAUAUCUUUCCGAGUAUCAUUGAUUAAAUCUUUCGGAAUAAGGAACUUGUUAAGCUGGAUCUGAAGCUUCCCAGGUUCUCGAAAAUUUAAUUCAGCUCUAAGCAUGUAGAAAGCAUAUUUGUACUUUAUCUGGACCGGGGUUCGACUCCCCGCAGCUCCACAA